GACUCGUCACACUAUCAUUAACUGAAUCCAUAGGUUAAUGAGGCGAACCGGGGGAACUGAAACAUCUAAGUACCCCGAGGAAAAGAAAUCAACCGAGAUUCCCCCAGUAGCGGCGAGCGAACGGGGAGGAGCCCAGAGCCUGAAUCAGCAUGUGUGUUAGUGGAAGCGUCUGGAAAGGCGCGCGAUACAGGGUGACAGCCCCGUACACAAAAGCGCAUGUGCUGUGAGCUCGAUGAGUAGGGCGGGACACGUGGUAUCCUGUCUGAAUAUGGGGGGACCAUCCUCCAAGGCUAAAUACUCCUGACUGACCGAUAGUGAACCAGUACCGUGAGGGAAAGGCGAAAAGAACCCCGGCGAGGGGAGUGAAAAAGAACCUGAAACCGUGUACGUACAAGCAGUGGGAGCACCCUUUGGGGUGUGACUGCGUACCUUUUGUAUAAUGGGUCAGCGACUUAUAUUCUGUAGCAAGGUUAACCGAAUAGGGGAGC
This 488-nucleotide ribosomal RNA is filed under the name Salmonella enterica subsp. enterica serovar Rubislaw. RNAcentral's name for it is "partial 23S ribosomal RNA". It matches the Rfam family "Bacterial large subunit ribosomal RNA", at positions 137 to 666 of the family's 2925-position model. Lineage: Bacteria; Pseudomonadati; Pseudomonadota; Gammaproteobacteria; Enterobacterales; Enterobacteriaceae. RNAcentral also lists the same sequence under 4 other names. The record is from RNAcentral.